Molecule: long non-coding RNA, 2665 nt
Filed under: Piliocolobus tephrosceles (Ugandan red Colobus)
Lineage: Eukaryota; Metazoa; Chordata; Mammalia; Primates; Cercopithecidae
Description: lncRNA (ENSPTEG00000015828.1)
Source: RNAcentral
AACAUUUGUAAAUAAAUUGUAUGUUUUAAGUUUAGCUCGUAAAUACAUAUAUCUUCUGUUAUUAUUUUUUGAAAAGUAAUUUUCUUUCGCGUUGUUAAUAGAACAUACUCUUUUGUGUUGAUGUUAAUAAUUUUUUUUUUUUUUUUUUUUUUUUAAAAAAAUUAAAGCAACAUUGUAUCUUUUAUUACCUCUUUUUUUUAUUAUUUUUUUUUUUUUUUUUUUAAUACAAGCGGUAUAUCGUUUUAGCUAUUUGCCAAAAAAAACGAAAAGGAAAAAAAUGUAUAAGUUUUUUUUUUUUUUUUUUUUUUUUUUUAACUUACGCACGUAUUAUAUUUAUAGGCUGCCUUAUUAUUUGAUAACAUUACUUGUUUAUUAAAAUAACACCGGGUAUUACAAGUACAUGUUAAAAUAGGUAAUUUAUCUAUGGCAAUAUAAACAAUAAGAAGCGCACAAAAAAAGUUACAAACAACCUGUGCCCAUUAUAUGUUUUACACUUGUCACUUGACUACAAAAAAAAAAAAAAAAAAAAAAAAUUACAUACGUACAUACAUACAUACAUACAUACAUACAAAAUGAACGACACAAAAACACGAAUAAACAGCAAAGUAAAAAAAAAUUUAUACGAAACAUACUGCAACAAAAACCCUACCAAUGAUAUAGCAGAAGCUAUCAGUUACAUUAAACAAAAUGAGUUUUUCCAAAGAUAUUCUGACUCUCUUAUUGGUCUAGAGCCAAUUUAUAAGCAUUCCAAAAAACGAAAGCAGAAAAGUGAGAGCAAACUAGCAGAAAAAAUUAAGGAAAUAUUAAAAAAAGAAACUGAGUAUAUAAAAAAAUACUUAAAUAAAAGUAAAAAAAAGGAUAAAGAUAAUAGAGGGAAACGCAAGCAAGACGCGAAACACAUACAAGAUACUCAGGACACAAAACAUACGAAAGGAACAAAAGAAACGAAGGGAACAAAACAUACGAAAGGCACAAAACACACAAAGGAAGAAAAGGGACUAAUGCACAUAUAUAACCUAUUCGAAUCCGUGCUAAACAAUAAAAACGAACAAACCUGCAGCAAUGGAAAAUAUUUAAUUAUAACUAAAUCAAAUAAUAGUAUAAAAAAGAUAUACAUGGAUGAUAUGAAGGAAUUGUUAACUGAAGUUAUAUACAUAGUAUUAACAGAAAGUGAAGAUAUCGAAAACAGUUUAUUAAAUUUAUUAGGUGCCCACUACAUCGAAAUUAUUAUUGAUAUUAUUAAAAAUAAAAAAGAAGUAGAAAAAGAUAUUACCUUAUUAAGUAAACACGUUGAUAUUAAAGAGGAUAUUCCUUUAGCCAAUUUUUUGAUUAAGAAUGUUACAAAAGAUAAAAAAGUGGACAAAAAAAAAACUACAUAUAAAAAAAUAAAUUUAGAAAAAAUUAUAGAAUACUUUUUAAACGCUUUAGAUGAUAAUACCAUAGGAAAUCAAAAACUAAUUUACAUACCAGAUGAAAAUAUUAAAUUACGAAAAAUUGCAGUACCACAAAAGACGACCUAUACACACACAAACAAUGUUACUAAAGUAAAAAUAGCGAAGCUACCAAAUUUUCAAUAUAACCAAAAUGAAUUAGUACCAGUGAAUAUUUUGCCUUUUUGGCAUAAAUAUAUUUUUGACUUUGAAUAUUUUAAUUAUAUACAAUCAAAAGUAUUUAAGGCAGCAUACGAAAGUAACAAAAAUUUGUUAGUAUCUGCUCCUACAGGUUGUGGUAAAACGAAUAUAGCCAUGUUGGUUGUAUUGCAGCAAAUUAUGUUGUUUUCUGACCAAAAUCACAUUGACUUGGAUCAAAUUGUUAAGUCUCAUUUGAUUAAAACGGGGGUGAUGCGCACGAACGGAAGUUCGACUCACGCAAAUGGUAGCUACAAAAAUGGUAACGACAAAAAUGGUAAUGACAAAAAUGGUAACGACAAAAAUGGUAAUGACAAAAAUGGCAACGACAAAAAUGGUAACGACAAAAAUGGCAACGACAAAAAUGGUAACGACAAAAAUGGCAACGACAAAAAUGGUAACGACAAAAAUGGCAACGACAAAAAUGGUAACGGCAAAAAUGGUAACAACAAAAAUGAUGAUAUUACGCAAAAAAAAGAAUACAUUUUAGAGGAUACUGAUUUUGCAUCCAAAAAAGAAUACUUUCCAGAGGAUAGUGAUGUUGCGCCAAAAACAGAAUACAUUUCAGAGGAUACCGAUUUUGCACCCAAAAAAGAAUACUUUCUAGAGGAUAGUGAUGUUGCACCAAAAAAAGAAUACAUUUCAGAGGAUACUGAUUUUGCACCAAAAAAAGAAUACUUUCCAGAGGAUAGUGAUGUUGCACCAAAAAAAGAAUACAUUUCAGAGGAUACUGAUUUUGCACCCAAAAAAGAAUACUUUCCAGAGGAUAGUGAUGUUGCGCCAAAAAAAGAAUACAUUUCAGAGGAUACCGAUUUUGCACCAAAAAAAGAGUACUUUCCAGAGGAUAGUGAUAUUGCGCCAAAAAAAGAAUACUUUCCAGAGGAUAUUGUGACUGAAGCAUCUGCACUGUCCGAUAACGACGACAUUAACAGCCUAAACUCGAACAUAAUAAUAAAACAAAACACUUAUAUAGAUGCUAAAGAAUUCAAAAUAAUUUAUAUCGCACCUAUGAAAUCGUUAGUGUACGAAAUAACCAA